This 431-nucleotide ribosomal RNA is filed under the name uncultured bacterium. RNAcentral's name for it is "partial 16S ribosomal RNA". It matches the Rfam family "Bacterial small subunit ribosomal RNA", at positions 29 to 505 of the family's 1533-position model. The record is from RNAcentral.
AACGAACGCUGGCGGCAGGCCUAACACAUGCAAGUCGAGCGAGGACUUCGGUUCUAGCGGCGGACGGGUGAGUAACGCGUGGGAAUGUGCCCUUCUCUACGGAAUAGCCCUGGGAAACUGGGAGUAAUACCGUAUACGCCCUAUUGGGGAAAGAUUUAUCGGAGAAGGAUCAGCCCGCGUUGGAUUAGGUAGUUGGUGGGGUAAUGGCCUACCAAGCCGACGAUCCAUAGCUGGUUUGAGAGGAUGAUCAGCCACACUGGGACUGAGACACGGCCCAGACCUCUCCGGGGGGGAGGAGGGGGAAAAUGUAGACAAGGGGGGGAACCCCAGUCAUGCCAAUCCUGGGGAGGGAUGAAGGGCGUAGGGUUAGAAAGCUCUUUCCGCUGGGAAGAAUAGGGCGGUACCAGCAGAAGAAGCCCCGGCUAACCCCG